CCACUUACCUUACCCCGUUCGUUGGUCCGUUCCGUUACGUCCCCUACCCCGAACCGUAACCGUCCCGGGACCCGGUCCGUUACCGGGAACCGGGGCCGAAAGGUUUAAAAGGUUUAAAACCUUUAACCGUUUACGACCGUUUUGGUUUUACGGUUAACCCGGUUUAAACCCCAAACGAAACGUAAAAGUAAACGACCCGGACCCGGAACCUUUAAACCGUUUCGGUUCCGACCGACGACGACGCCCGGACGGUUAACUAACGGGUAAGGGGUCGAACGAACGGUACGUUUAACGGUACGGUAAACUUUACGGUCGGGUAACGGUAAACGGCCGGCCGGUACGGUUAGGGUUCGGGUUUAACGGUUUUAAGGGUUAGGUAGUUGGUAAGAAAACCCGGGCCCCCGGGUCCUAACCCUAACCGGUAACGGGUAAACGUCGACUACUAAACCCUAAAAACGGUCGGGACGGACGACCUAAGGGUAAGUUAGGUCGGACAAGGGGUAGGGGUUGGGAAGGUUUAACCUUUUCCGUUGGUUAGUACGGGCGGGUAAAGUAAAGUCGGUACGGUAAGAAUUAAGGUAAAGGGGAAAACGGAAACCCAACCGUAGGGUCGGGAACGGGAACGGGACCCGAACCCCUACCGGGUCGGGUAACUUAAACUUACGUACGAACCUACUAGGGAGGUCGAACGAAGCGGGUAGGGANACAACGAGUAUAGACCUACCGUAGGUACNCCACCGAACCGUAACGNUGUAGUGACUAGUUGGUUGGGGGUUUCCCGCCCCUCAGUGCCGCAGCUAACGCAUUAAGCACUCCGCCUGGGAGUAC
RNAcentral lists this ribosomal RNA (828 nucleotides) under uncultured compost bacterium. RNAcentral describes it as "partial 16S ribosomal RNA". The record is from RNAcentral.